This 1777-nucleotide ribosomal RNA is filed under the name human gut metagenome. RNAcentral describes it as "bacterial LSU rRNA". It matches the Rfam family "Bacterial large subunit ribosomal RNA", at positions 830 to 2492 of the family's 2925-position model. The record is from RNAcentral.
CAAUCAAAUUCCGUGAUAGCUGGUUCUCUCCGAAAUGCAUUUAGGUGCAGCGUCGGUCGAUUGCGUCGCGGGGGUAGAGCUACCGGAUGCUUGCGGGCCCUUGUUGGGUACCAACAGCAGCCGAACUCCGAAUACCGUUGACGUGUAUUCCGGCAGUGAGUCGGCGGGGGAUAAGCUCCGUCGUCGAGAGGGAGACAGCCCAGACCGUCGUCUAAGGUCCCGAAGCGUGUGCUAAGUGGGAAAGGAUGUGGAGUCGCAUAGACAGCCAGGAGGUUGGCUCAGAAGCAGCCAUCCUUGAAAGAGUGCGUAACAGCUCACUGGUCUAGUGGUUCCGCGCCGACAAUGUAGCGGGGCUCAAGCACACCACCGAAGACGCGGCAGUAUUUUGUACUGGGUAGGAGAGCGUCCCAUGAGGGGCGAAGCGGCCGUGUGAACGCGCCGUGGACUUCAUGGGAGUGAGAAUGCAGACAUGAGUAGCGAGAGACGGGUGAAGAUCCCGUCCGCUGGAUGACCAAGGGUUCCAGGGCCACGUUCAUCGUCCCUGGGUGAGUCGGGUCCUAAGGCGAGGCCGACAGGCGUAGUCGAAUGGAUGAACGGGUCGAUAUUCCCGUACCGGCUUUCAGCCGCCAAAACCGAGGCUUGGAGUACUAACCUCCGGGUCCGGGCUUACUGCUCCUUCGGGGGCGGGAUGCCCUGGCCUGUUGGGACCGAUCCUUGUAGUAGGUCAGCGCAGGAGUGACGCAGAAGGGUAGCCGGCCGCGGAGGUGGUCUUCCGUGGUCAAGCACGCAGGGCGUGGGACAGGCAAAUCCGUCCCGCAUGGGUCCGAGGUGCGAUGAUGGGGGCCUUAUGGCCCGAUAUCCGGUGAUCCCGGCUGCCGAGAAAAGCUUCGGCGUCAGGCUCGAAGCCGCCCGUACCCCAAACCGACACUGGUGGUCAGGUAGAGAAUACCAAAGCGAUCGAGCGAAUCCUGGUCAAGGAACUCGGCAAAUCACUCCCGUUCCUUCGGUUUAAGGGAGACCCCCGAUGGUGAACACACUUGCUGUGGGAGCUUUUGGGGGUGGCACAGACCAGGGGGUAGCGACUGUUUACCAAAAACACAGGUGCAUGCGAAGGCGAAAGCCGCUGUAUAUGCACUGACGCCUGCCCGGUGCCGGAAGGUUAAGAGGAUCCGUCAGCCUUCGGGUGAAGCGGUGAAUUCAAGCCCCGGUAAACGGCGGUGGUAACUAUAACCAUCCUAAGGUAGCGAAAUUCCUUGUCGGGUAAGUUCCGACCUGCACGAAUGGCGUAACGACUUCCCCACUGUCUCGACCAGGAGCUCGGCGAAAUUGCAGUACGAGUAAAGAUGCUCGUUAAGCGCAGAAGGACGAAAAGACCCCGGGACCUUUACUAUACCUUGGUAUUGGCGUUAGGCGCGGAUUGUGUAGCAUAGGCGGGAGGCUUCGAAGCGGGUGCGCCAGCAUUCGUGGAGCCGCAAGGUGAAAUACCGCUCUGUUCUCGUUUGACGUCUAACCUCGACAAGUCAUCCUUGUCAGGGACAGUGCCUGGCGGGUAGUUCAACUGGGGCGGUUGCCUCCCAAAGAGUAACGGAGGCGCUCAAAGGUCCGCUCAGCCCGGUUGGCAAUCGGGUGUCGAGUGUAAUCGCACAAGCGGGCUUGACUGCGAGGACGACGGUCCGAGCAGGGACGAAAGUCGGAGAUAGUGAUCCGGUGCCGGCGCACGGGCGCGGCAUCGCUCAACGGAUAAAAGGUACCCCGGGGAUAACAGGCUGAUCAUUCC